UUCAAUUCCAAUACCUAUCCCGCAUCAAGAAAUGUCAAACAAAGCACUUCCAGCAUAUAUUCCAAGAAAGCUAUCAAACAUCCUUCCAGCAUCUACCCAUCAUGACGGCACGUCAUCACCUUCACUGUCAAAAUCAAGUAUCCAAGCAUACAAGCCAAAAUCAAGUGUACACACCAAUACCAAGCAUACAAGCCCAUACUAAGUAUACAAGCUAAACCAAGCGUACAAGCCAAUUCCAAAC
RNAcentral lists this long non-coding RNA (241 nucleotides) under Prunus persica (peach). Its description in RNAcentral is "long non-coding RNA (PPER_LNC003596)". The record is from RNAcentral. Lineage: Eukaryota; Viridiplantae; Streptophyta; Magnoliopsida; Rosales; Rosaceae.